UGUAUUCUUGGAACCAUAGAUCUACAAUUGGC
RNAcentral lists this non-coding RNA (32 nucleotides) under Mus musculus (house mouse). Lineage: Eukaryota; Metazoa; Chordata; Mammalia; Rodentia; Muridae. The record is from RNAcentral.